Molecule: ribosomal RNA, 2235 nt
Filed under: Salmonella enterica
Lineage: Bacteria; Pseudomonadati; Pseudomonadota; Gammaproteobacteria; Enterobacterales; Enterobacteriaceae
Also listed under: 2 other names
Description: bacterial LSU rRNA
Rfam family: Bacterial large subunit ribosomal RNA
Source: RNAcentral
UGACUGCGUACCUUUUGUAUAAUGGGUCAGCGACUUAUAUUCUGUAGCAAGGUUAACCGAAUAGGGGAGCCGGAGGGAAACCGAGUCUUAACCGGGCGUUAAGUUGCAGGGUAUAGACCCGAAACCCGGUGAUCUAGCCAUGGGCAGGUUGAAGGUUGGGUAACACUAACUGGAGGACCGAACCGACUAAUGUUGAAAAAUUAGCGGAUGACCUGUGGCUGGGGGUGAAAGGCCAAUCAAACCGGGAGAUAGCUGGUUCUCCCCGAAAGCUAUUUAGGUAGCGCCUCGUGAACUCAUCUCCGGGGGUAGAGCACUGUUUCGGCUAGGGGGCCAUCCCGGCUUACCAACCCGAUGCAAACUGCGAAUACCGGAGAAUGUUAUCACGGGAGACACACGGCGGGUGCUAACGUCCGUCGUGAAGAGGGAAACAACCCAGACCGCCAGCUAAGGUCCCAAAGUCAUGGUUAAGUGGGAAACGAUGUGGGAAGGCCCAGACAGCCAGGAUGUUGGCUUAGAAGCAGCCAUCAUUUAAAGAAAGCGUAAUAGCUCACUGGUCGAGUCGGCCUGCGCGGAAGAUGUAACGGGGCUAAACCAUGCACCGAAGCUGCGGCAGCGACACUCAGGUGUUGUUGGGUAGGGGAGCGUUCUGUAAGCCUGCGAAGGUGGCCUGUGAGGGUUGCUGGAGGUAUCAGAAGUGCGAAUGCUGACAUAAGUAACGAUAAAGCGGGUGAAAAGCCCGCUCGCCGGAAGACCAAGGGUUCCUGUCCAACGUUAAUCGGGGCAGGGUGAGUCGACCCCUAAGGCGAGGCCGAAAGGCGUAGUCGAUGGGAAACGGGUUAAUAUUCCCGUACUUGGUGUUACUGCGAAGGGGGGACGGAGAAGGCUAUGUUGGCCGGGCGACGGUUGUCCCGGUUUAAGCGUGUAGGUGUGUGUUCCAGGUAAAUCCGGUUCACUUUAACACUGAGGCGUGAUGACGAGGCACUACGGUGCUGAAGCAACAAAUGCCCUGCUUCCAGGAAAAGCCUCUAAGCAUCAGGUAACAUCAAAUCGUACCCCAAACCGACACAGGUGGUCAGGUAGAGAAUACCAAGGCGCUUGAGAGAACUCGGGUGAAGGAACUAGGCAAAAUGGUGCCGUAACUUCGGGAGAAGGCACGCUGACACGUAGGUGAAGUGAUUUACUCAUGGAGCUGAAGUCAGUCGAAGAUACCAGCUGGCUGCAACUGUUUAUUAAAAACACAGCACUGUGCAAACACGAAAGUGGACGUAUACGGUGUGACGCCUGCCCGGUGCCGGAAGGUUAAUUGAUGGGGUCAGCGCAAGCGAAGCUCCUGAUCGAAGCCCCGGUAAACGGCGGCCGUAACUAUAACGGUCCUAAGGUAGCGAAAUUCCUUGUCGGGUAAGUUCCGACCUGCACGAAUGGCGUAAUGAUGGCCAGGCUGUCUCCACCCGAGACUCAGUGAAAUUGAACUCGCUGUGAAGAUGCAGUGUACCCGCGGCAAGACGGAAAGACCCCGUGAACCUUUACUAUAGCUUGACACUGAACAUUGAGCCUUGAUGUGUAGGAUAGGUGGGAGGCUUUGAAGUGUGGACGCCAGUCUGCAUGGAGCCGGCCUUGAAAUACCACCCUUUAAUGUUUGAUGUUCUAACGUGGACCCGUGAUCCGGGUUGCGGACAGUGUCUGGUGGGUAGUUUGACUGGGGCGGUCUCCUCCUAAAGAGUAACGGAGGAGCACGAAGGUUGGCUAAUCCUGGUCGGACAUCAGGAGGUUAGUGCAAUGGCAUAAGCCAGCUUGACUGCGAGCGUGACGGCGCGAGCAGGUGCGAAAGCAGGUCAUAGUGAUCCGGUGGUUCUGAAUGGAAGGGCCAUCGCUCAACGGAUAAAAGGUACUCCGGGGAUAACAGGCUGAUACCGCCCAAGAGUUCAUAUCGACGGCGGUGUUUGGCACCUCGAUGUCGGCUCAUCACAUCCUGGGGCUGAAGUAGGUCCCAAGGGUAUGGCUGUUCGCCAUUUAAAGUGGUACGCGAGCUGGGUUUAGAACGUCGUGAGACAGUUCGGUCCCUAUCUGCCGUGGGCGCUGGAGAACUGAGGGGGGCUGCUCCUAGUACGAGAGGACCGGAGUGGACGCAUCACUGGUGUUCGGGUUGUCAUGCCAAUGGCACUGCCCGGUAGCUAAAUGCGGAAGAGAUAAGUGCUGAAAGCAUCUAAGCACGAAACUUGCCCCGAGAUGAGUUCU